GGACCAGACUCCUACGGGAGGCAGCAGUGGGGAAUAUUGCACAAUGGGGGAAACCCUGAUGCAGCGACGCCGCGUGAGUGAAGAAGUAAUUCGUUAUGUAAAGCUCUAUCAGCAGGGAAGAAAAUGACGGUACCCGACUAAGAAGCCCCGGCUAACUACGUGCCAGCAGCCGCGGUAAUACGUAGGGGGCAAGCGUUAUCCGGAUUUACUGGGUGUAAAGGGAGCGUAGACGGCGAUGCAAGCCAGAUGUGAAAGCCCGGGGCUCAACCCCGGGACUGCAUUUGGAACUGUGUGGCUGGAGUGUCGGAGAGGCAGGCGGAAUUCCUAGUGUAGCGGUGAAAUGCGUAGAUAUUAGGAGGAACACCAGUGGCGAAGGCGGCCUGCUGGACGAUGACUGACGUUGAGGCUCGAAAGCGUGGGGAGCAAACAGGAUUAGAUACCCCUGUAA
This 448-nucleotide ribosomal RNA is filed under the name uncultured bacterium. RNAcentral describes it as "bacterial SSU rRNA". It matches the Rfam family "Bacterial small subunit ribosomal RNA", at positions 328 to 793 of the family's 1533-position model. The record is from RNAcentral.